UAGCAUAUGUCUAUUUUAGUGU
This 22-nucleotide non-coding RNA is filed under the name Arabidopsis thaliana (thale cress). Lineage: Eukaryota; Viridiplantae; Streptophyta; Magnoliopsida; Brassicales; Brassicaceae. The record is from RNAcentral.